AGCAGCCGCGGUAAUUCCAGCUCCAAUAGCGUAUAUUAAAGUUGUUGCAGUUAAAAAGCUCGUAGUUGAAUUUCGGGGUUAGUAGAUUGGUCAUGCCUCUGGUAUGUACUGGUCUCACUGAUUCCUCCUUCCUGAUGAACCUUAAUGCCAUUAAUUUGGUGUUUUGGGGAAUUUGGACUGUUACUUUGAAAAAAUUAGAGUGUUUAAAGCAAGCUAACGCUUGAAUACAUUAGCAUGGAAUAAUGAAAUAGGACGUUCGAUCCUAUUUUGUUGGUUUCUAGGAUUGACGUAAUGAUUAAUAGGGAUAGUUGGGGGCAUUAGUAUUCAAUUGUCAGAGGUGAAAUUCUUGGAUUUAUUGAAGACUAACUACUCCGAAAGCAUUUGCCAAGGAUGUUUUCAUUAAUCAAGAACGAAAGUUAGGGGAUCGAAGACGAUCAGAUACCGUCGUAGUCUUAACCAUAAACUAUGCCGACUAGGGAUCGGAUGAUGUUAAUUUCUUAAUGACUCA
Molecule: ribosomal RNA, 508 nt
Filed under: uncultured glomeraceous AM fungus
Lineage: Eukaryota; Fungi; Glomeromycota; Glomeromycetes; Glomerales; Glomeraceae
Description: SSU rRNA
Rfam family: Eukaryotic small subunit ribosomal RNA
Source: RNAcentral